GAUGAACGCUGGCGGCGUGCUUAACACAUGCAAGUCGAACGGAAAGGCCCAAGCUUGCUUGGGUACUCGAGUGGCGAACGGGUGAGUAACACGUGGGUGAUCUGCCCUGCACUUCGGGAUAAGCCUGGGAAACUGGGUCUAAUACUGGAUAGGACCACUUCUUGGAUGGUGUGGUGGAAAGUUUUUUCGGUGUGGGAUGAGCUCGCGGCCUAUCAGCUUGUUGGUGGGGUAAUGGCCUACCAAGGCGUCGACGGGUAGCCGGCCUGAGAGGGUGUACGGCCACAUUGGGACUGAGAUACGGCCCAGACUCCUACGGGAGGCAGCAGGGGGGAAUAUUGCACAAUGGGCGCAAGCCUGAUGCAGCGACGCCGCGUGGGGGAUGACGGCCUUCGGGUUGUAAACUCCUUUCGCUAGGGACGAAGCGUUUUUGUGACGGUACCUGGAGAAGAAGCACCGGCUAACUACGUG
RNAcentral lists this ribosomal RNA (468 nucleotides) under uncultured bacterium. RNAcentral describes it as "partial 16S ribosomal RNA". It matches the Rfam family "Bacterial small subunit ribosomal RNA", at positions 28 to 507 of the family's 1533-position model. The record is from RNAcentral.